RNAcentral lists this transfer RNA (65 nucleotides) under Oecanthus rufescens. RNAcentral's name for it is "tRNA-Asn". Lineage: Eukaryota; Metazoa; Arthropoda; Insecta; Orthoptera; Gryllidae. The record is from RNAcentral. RNAcentral also lists the same sequence under 1 other name.
UUAAUUGAAACCAAAAAGAGGUAUGUUAUUGUUAAUAACAUUAUUGAAUAAUAAUUCCAAUUAAG